This 73-nucleotide transfer RNA is filed under the name Clostridiales bacterium. RNAcentral describes it as "tRNA-Arg". It matches the Rfam family "tRNA". From Rfam's summary of the family: Transfer RNA (tRNA) molecules are approximately 80 nucleotides in length. The record is from RNAcentral. Lineage: Bacteria; Bacillati; Bacillota; Clostridia; Eubacteriales.
UCGCCUGUAGCUCAGAGGAGAGAGCAGAGGUUUCCUAAACCUUUGGUCGCAGGUUCGACUCCUGUCAGGCGAG